This is a long non-coding RNA of Helicoverpa zea (corn earworm), 410 nucleotides long. RefSeq lists it as uncharacterized. The record is from RefSeq and is a predicted model, not a curated record. NCBI's taxonomy places the organism in Eukaryota, Metazoa, Arthropoda, Insecta, Lepidoptera, Noctuidae. The transcript has 2 exons.
UAAAUGUUUUUAUUAUUUCACGUCAUUUCAAUACUUUAUGAGAAUUUUAUUACUUUUACGUUAGGCAACACUUGGUGAAAUGGUACAAUUUUUUCUAUUAUAUAUUCUUGUUUGUGUUGUUGCAGGUUUGAAAUUUAAGGUUAAAGCCUGGAGUGAUUCUUUCUAUCUUUCCAAAGAUUAUUUCCGAAGAUAAAAAAAUUAAUACGUUAAGCGUUAUACGCCUGACCACUUCAGAAAACGAAGAGCCUGGCUGGAUCUUUUAAAAGUCCUCCAUGUAAGAAGAUAAAACUUGAUAUUACUACACAGACAUCAACAUUACCUCUUACACCAAGGAAAAUAAAAUUGAAGCGUGAGGUGAAAAAUCUAAAACAGAAAGUCUACAUAAAUAAUAAAUAUACCAUUUACUAUAA